UAGUCCACGCCCUAAACGAUGCUAACUCGAUAUUUGGAUCUUGAAUCUGAGUGUCUAAGCGAAAGCGAUAAGUUAGCCACCUGGGGAGUACGUUCGCAAGAAUGAAACUCAAAGGAAUUGACGGGGGCCCGCACAAGCGGAGGAGCAUGUGGUUUAAUUCGAUGAUACGCGAGGAACCUUACCUGGGCUUAAAUGCAGGGCGAUUUCGGCCGAAAGGUCGUUUUCUUCGGACGGCCUGCAAGGUGCUGCAUGGUUGUCGUCAGCUCGUGCCGUGAGGUGUCGGGUUAAGUCCCAUAACGAGCGCAACCCCUAUCCUCAGUUGCCAGCACGUAAUGGUGGGGACUCUGGGGGAACUGCCUACGCAAGUAGAGAGGAAGGUGGGGAUGACGUCAAAUCAGCACGGCCCUUAUGUCCAGGGCUACACACGUGCUACAAUGGCCCGUACAGAGGGCAGCUACCCGGCAACGGGGUGCCAAUCUCUAAAACGGGUCUCAGUUCGGAUCGGAGUCUGCAACUCGA
RNAcentral lists this ribosomal RNA (519 nucleotides) under uncultured bacterium. RNAcentral describes it as "bacterial SSU rRNA". It matches the Rfam family "Bacterial small subunit ribosomal RNA", at positions 791 to 1315 of the family's 1533-position model. The record is from RNAcentral.